AGAAUCAAUACAAAUUAAUACUUGUAGGUACCUAAUUUUUUUCUUCAAGCUCUAAGAAAUAUAGUUAGUCACAUUCAUGUCAAAAUUAAUUAAUAACAAACAUAGGGCAUUAAUUUUGAGACAGUCAGCUUGAAAGAGAUAACUCAUUGCAAAAACUUGAAAAUAGCAGAUUUUGACAGAUUAAAUCCAUUUUGCAACUUAAAAGUACAUCAAAAAUUGUAACAAACUUUAUUAAAUAUAAAACCAGGAUGACAUAGAACUAGUGAUCUGUCCUUCAUUUUGUAGCAAGCAUCUUCUAGUUAGUGAUGAAAACAUUUAAAGUAAUUUUAGCUGUCCAUCUAUUUAGUAUUUGGAACCCGUAAAACAUAAAGUGGUGGUAUAUCAGGAAAAAGAAAAUGAAAUGGAUACUAAACUUAUUGAAACAUUUAGAAAAGCAGCUGCAACUUGGUACUGCAAAAGUAAAAAUUUGCCAAGGAGAUAUAACAACUGGAGCAUUCAAUAUAUUGAACAUGAAAAUGGGAAGGACAUCAAUACAGAAAUAUGCAGAGUAAGUUUAAUUAA
Molecule: long non-coding RNA, 561 nt
Organism: Amphimedon queenslandica
Lineage: Eukaryota; Metazoa; Porifera; Demospongiae; Haplosclerida; Niphatidae
Exons: 3
Source: RefSeq, a predicted model, not a curated record